RNAcentral lists this long non-coding RNA (6521 nucleotides) under Sus scrofa (pig). Its description in RNAcentral is "lncRNA (ENSSSCG00030074945.1, ENSSSCG00040013046.1)". The record is from RNAcentral. Lineage: Eukaryota; Metazoa; Chordata; Mammalia; Artiodactyla; Suidae.
ACUUAGACAUGAGACUGGGGUUAGAGCAGCCAUCUUGUGAUCAUGCUAUAGACACAAAUAUAACAGUUAUAUGCUAAAGAAGUCCGAGAAUGAGAAGAAGAUGAAAAGGAGCCUGGGUUAUUAAUGGCAUUGUGGAGCCACCUAAUCAGCUUUGGAUUACCCACCAUAGGAUUUCUAAUGAGAGAAAAAUACUUUUUACGUUUUAAACCAUUAUUUUCAAGGAUUUUAUUACUAAUGAAAUGUUAUCCUAAGGGACACAUUAGCAUUUUGUAAAAUAAAGAAUGUUUUAAUGCUCAAAAGUUCCUUGCCUCCUUUCUCCGUUCAAGAUCUCUUCCUAUCUCUACAUUUUCCCAGCUCCAGCAUCCUAUCAGGACAUUUUUAGUCAUGUUCCACCUUGGUUUAUGUAUUCUAUCUCCAAGAUGAGUCUUCUCCUACUUCAAGAUAUUUCUCUCAGCUGGAGAAUCCCCCUCAGGACUUUUCUAAAUAGGUGUUCCUGUUGAUGCUUCCAAACCUGUAUUCUCAUGGGCUAAGGAAUGAUGAAUAGGUCUCUGCCAUUUGUUCCUAGAAACUUUGCUUUUCCUUUGCUUGAGAAUUGUCUAGGUUUUGUGUAACUUGUGAAACAGAAUGGAAGAAAGCCUCCUUUUUACUACUUCUUUUCUAGAAACAUUAGAAUAUGCCUUGAGAGUUCGAUGCUGCUCUCUUAUUUCACUGUUCCUUUGGAGCAGUCCCAGCUGAAUUGUAUUUCAAAGAGCAUUUUAUUUUUAUGUUUUGAUGGUAUGUUAUUUAGAGAAUGAAAAUUUAUGACUAUUAUGACUAUUAGAGUUUCAUUGUGGAUUGUAUCCUUUGUCCAAGAGUUUAAAAAAAAUUCACUAGGUUUAUGUUUUUACUUUGAAUUCUAUUUUUUAAAAUAAUAAUAGUGUGAAACUCUUUUCUUAUGAUUAUACAUGGCUGAUAUAUCUGUGCCUAACAUCUAAUUAUUUUUGCUUUUUCAUACUGCUUACUUUAAAAAUCUAUCUUGUAAAUACCAAAUAGAUGAAUUUAUCUCUAAAUCUAAUCUGAAAGUCUUUUUAAUAAGGUGAUUCAUUUAAAAGUUAUUUUUGGAAUUAAAAACUUCUUAUUUUAUCAUUUUAUGUUUUCUCUCACAUCUAUUUUCUACUUUAGUAGAAAAUAUAUGCUUUAUAUUCUAUUCUUUUAUCAUCUGAAAAGUACACAUUUUGUUUUUUAUUUAUAUUCAUGGUAAACAGUGAUCAUUUUAAAACAUACUUAAACAUAUAAUUAUUUAAUUAUCAAUAUCACAAAUGAUGUACUAUGUAUUGAGGUCACCCACAUGCUGGUUAUUUUCAUAUGUAUUUUUUUCUUCUCCCUUCUGGAAUAACAUUUUUCUUCUCCAUUUCUCUGAUUAUUUACUUAGCUCAUCCGGCAUUUAAAUUUUUUUUCUACCUCUUUGGCAGCUCCAGUUUCAUCUCCAAGUAACCCAGUUUCCUAUUUUCAUACAUAAUGUCAAUGUCUUACAGAAUAUUAUAAAUCAGAAACAACAACACAGAAUUAUAGAGUUCCUGUUGUGGCUCAGCAGUAAGGAAUCUGACUAGUAUCCAUGAAGAUUUGGGUUCAUUCCAUGGCCUUGCUCAGUUGGUUAAGCGUCCGGUGUUGCUCUGGCUGUGGUGUAGGCUGGCAGCUGCAGCUUUGAUUUACCCCUAGCUUGGGAAACUCCAUAUGCCGCAGGUGUAGCCCUAAAAAGAAAAAAAAAAAAAAAUCAGAAAUGCAAACCAGAAGUAGAUUUACAGAGGAGGAAUCUCUUAAAUACAUUGCCUGUUAUUCUUAAUAUUAAGUGUGGAAUAAUUCAUUUCACUGUCCCAACUCACUGCGGGGACAGCUUAGCGCUAUCUGAUAAGCUCCUUCUAAAGGUCAUCAGGUGAAAUCCCGGCUGAUGUUGAAUUAGAAAAGAAACACUCUUGGGUGAAUAUCAGCUGAGCUCUUAAACCAAACGUGUUAAGAUCAUAGUAAUCAGGGCCUUUAAGCUUGCUCUUCCUUCCUUCUGCAAUGCCCAUUCCCCAGGUAUUUGUAAGUUCACUCCCUCACUUAAUUCAUAUAUCCACGUAAAUGUCACCUCCUUAGAAAGAUAUAUAUUGAGUUUAAAGUGCAUUUGAAAUUCAAUUGGAUACAGUUAACACAUAAUUGGACUAUAAGGGUCUGAAGAUCAUGGAAGAGGUUAGGUGUAGAGAUAAAGACUUAGGUGUCAUCAUCUUUUAAGUGACAACUAAAAUCAUGUAAGAGGGUGAGAUCACAUAGUGAGACUUUGUAAAAAUGACAAAUGGGUUUGGAGAAAUCACUAUAAAAUAUCCUCAUUUAAAAGGACAGAUGGAGAUGAUAAGAAAUAAUAGAAGGAGUGUAGAAAAUAGGCCAAGGUGCUUAGAAGAAAAGGGUGUAUGACAUUAUGGGAAGAGUAAGGUUCAGGGAAGGAGUAGUCAACAGCAUAAAAUGCCAGAUAUACAGAAGCUUAAGAAUUAAAAGAUGUCCGUGAAAUUUAACAAAUGAAAAAUCAUUUGUGAUGUUGUUGAGAGCAAGUUUUAAUGGGAUGGUGGAGGUAGAACCCAGAUUGUAGUGGGAGAGAAUUGAUAAAAGGUGACUAAUUUAUGAAGGAUUUAUAAGAUAUUAAAAUAUCAUUGUAUACAAGCAAGAAGAAACAUCCAAAGGCAUCUUCAAUAAUAAAGACAAUUUAUUGUCUCAUAUAGCAGAAUAUCUGAAAUAGAGCAGUUCUCAAAAAAUAAAGACCCAAUCAUGCACCCAGGUUCUUUCCACAUUUGUUUUGCCCUCUUCACAUUGUUGGGUUUUAUUCUUAGAUUUUAACCCUUAUAGUUAUAAGAUGUUUUCAGUAGUGAUAAGCAUCAUAUUUUCAUACAUUUGGACAAUGUCCAAAGGUGAGAGAGGAGGAAGAGGACUUAUUUCUUUCUUGUAUUCUGUUUUUAAGAGUGAAGAAAACAUGUCCAAAACCUCCUAGCAUAUUUGACCCAUAGCUCAUUGAUGUUUACUGUGACACUAUAAAAUUUAUAAAUUAAUAAUUGGCAAAAGUAAAGGAAUAGUUUAAGAAAAAAUUAAAAUGUUACAUUUCUUCCAAACACAAGGUAUGGCUAAAAGAGGGCAAGGGAGGGCUUCUUUGUUCUGCAAUAUUCUGUUUCUUUCUUUUUUUCUUUUUCCUGGUCUUUUUAGGGCUGCACCCACGGCAUAUGGAAGUUCCCAGGUUAGGGGUCCAAUCCAAGCUGCAGCCACCGGCCUACACCACAACCACAGCAAUGCCAGAUCCAAGCCACAUCUGCAACCUACACCACAGCUCAUGGCAGCGCUGGAUCCUUAACCCACUGAGAGAGGCCAGGGAUCAACCCCUCAACCUCAUGGUUCCUAGUCAGAUUCGUUUCUGCUGCGCCAUGACAGGAACUCCCAAUAUUCUAUUUCUUGAUUUGAAUGGUAGUGAAUUCCCAUCAUGACUCAAUGGUUAACAAACUUGACUAGCAUCCAUGAGGACAUGGGUUCAAUCCCUGGCCUCGCUCUGGGGGUUAAGGAUCCAGGAUUGCCAUGAGCUAUGGUGUAGGUCACAGAUGUGGCUCGGAUCCCAUGUUGCUGUGGCUGUGGUGUAGGCCAGCGGCUAUAGCUCAGAUUGGACCUGUAGCCUGGGAACCUCCAUAUGCCAUGGUUACAGCCCUAGAAAGACAAAAAGACAAAAAAAUAUAUAUAUUAAAAUGGUUAUCAUCCCCUCUGUGUCUUGAUGCAGGGGGUAAGCAGUUAGACUUGUUGAAGCCAAUGGUCACUAGAACUAAAAUUUGGGUUGUUAUUAUUAGCAAGGAAGAAAGUGGAGAAUGGUUAUGAGGUAGCCAACCAGUUGUCUCUGUUAUUCAUCCAGGUAAAUAAUAGAAUUUGGUUAAAACAGCUUGUUAGACCUAACACAAAAAAAAUUUAAAAACUAAACUUUAAAAACAUUUUUCUUAUUUAGUAGCAAUACCUUUAUGUAAACAGUUGAAUUAGACCUCUAACAUUUUUACCAUAUGUAAAGGAAAUUAAGAUAAUUAGGCUACAAUAAGAAAGGUAUCAUUUAAUUCAUCAUAUCACUGAUUCUCUACCCUAUCAGACUCAACAACUCCUAUAACCAACAUUUUAUAAUGACCCUGAAAUAGAAUUUAUAAUCUAACAUACUUUUACACAUAACUUCAAAAAUGCAAUGUCCCAAUUAUAAUACAAAGGAAAAACAAAAGCAAACUAAUUUUUGAAAAUAUAAUAUGCAUUUAUAUAUAUAAAAGCUGAAGCAUGACUAACUAGGUCUAAUGAAGGAGUAAAACACUUGGCAUAUACUUAUAAUGAAUACAUUUGGUUUUAAGAGUAUUAGGAGGAACAGAAGCUAGUUUUUAUAAAAAGUGCAGGAAAAUGAUUAAGAAGAGGAUUAUGGAGAUGCUAAAUUAAAAGCUAGUUUUAGGAGAGGAAGUAACAGAAGACAGUUACUAAUACAUGAUAAAAGAAAGGGAGAAAUACCUUAAUUAAAGUAGUGAUAACUUGUCCCCCAAAAUUACAUACUAUGGAGGUGGAGAAAACUAGGACUAUGUUAUUCUUGUAAAUAGGCUGAACAUCGCAGAUGAAGCAUAACAAUGACAUGACCCUUGGUAGGCAUGAGGUAACAGCAAAACAAUAUCCCUUUUUAGAAAAUCCUAACACAUACCAAGGCACAUGUUCUCUCUUUAGUACUUAAAGAAAAUUUGGAGAUGUUGACUGGUAGAUGUCUGCAAUGUCAUAGUAAAAUUCAAGAAAAAAAGGAAGAAAUAAGUAAAUGAUUGUAAUAUUUAUUUUUCAUAUUAUAGAUUUUAUAUCCCUGUUUUAUGAAAAACAAAAAUAUGUAGAUGGACUUCCAAUAUCUGGCCCAGUGGAUAGGGAUUUUAGAAGACAUCAUUUCUGUCUUCACAACAAAGGAAUAACUGAACAAAAUGAAAAUCAAUAAAUUUCCUUAUAUCCAUCAGAGAAUUGAGAAUUGAGGUCAUGGGGCAAACUGGUGCCUUCCAAAUUGGAGAAAUAGAAGAGGAUACAGAGGAUCACAAUUUGCAGGACAGAAACCCAAGAUUAGAAACUGCUACAGGAAACAGUACCAUAGUACCAAUUUAGUGCACUAAACUUUACUUUAAAAACCUAGAAAAAUAAAAUUAGCAUCUUCGAGAAAUCUGAAAAAUAAAUCAAGAGUUCUUAAAGAGCAAUAGAACAGAUUUAAUCAGAAAAUAAGCCAAGUGUUUUUUUUUUUUCUCUUGCAUUACUAACUCUGAUUUUUAAAAAGCAUUUCAAAGUGGUACUUCCCGUUACAGUCUACAGAGAGACUACAAAUCUUUUCCACAAAAAGCAGCUACAGAGCUGGAAAAAAUUGACAGAAUAACAUCAUUUCAAUGUUCUGUAAAUCUACCCAUGGUUUAGAAUUUUGGAAGCAUGUAUUAUGGAAAAACUGACGAAAUUUGAGUAAGAAUAGUGGGAAUUUGUGGUGUUCUUGCCCACAUCUGUGUUCAGUUGAGGCAGGGGUUCUGCCAGGAUAAGGAAGGCCAUAAGGACCAGCAUUUUCUUUUCUGUGAUAGAGGGAUGGGGCUAAUAUUUUCAGAGGCAGAUGAACAGGCCAGGACCAAUGUCUCUACUAUCCUUAGGUUACUGCUGUGUGUGGGGCAAGUCUAUUCCUGGCUGAGGAUGAAUGUAUGAGAAGUGGAGAUCAGACUUCUCUGAUAAUUUCACAUAAUCCUGGCCAACUUUGAGGCUGCACAGAGGAGACCCAAAAGAGCCAGUGAAAUCUAAGAGACUGGGCAGGAUUAGAAAUGAUCUGAAUGUGAAUGUCCUCACCUACCUGUACACAGAUUCAUUGGCAGAAGAUGGGCUUUUGCUGCUUCAAGGUUGUCAUUAUAACCUCUGUAGAAUCAUUAUCUAACCAUUAAGCUAUUCAGUCACAGAAGGUCCCCUAGGAAGUCAGAAUUUAAAUAAAACCAAGAAUAUAAGUAAAUAAAUAAUUUGUUUAAAAAAUUGAGCUGAACAAUUGUAUCCAUAAAUGGCAGGGAAUGCAGAAUUCACAGAUUUAGCCUAGGUAAGUUAAUGAACAAGUAAAGAGCAAUAUAAACUUUUAGUGCGAGAAUCAAGAUCCAGAUUUUUUAUACUAUAUUAUCUAUAUCAAUUAGAUGAAAAGGAAAAAGUCCUAAAAAGAUAUCAAUUACCAAUACUAAUUCAAGAAGAAAAAAUGAACAGAUGAAUAACAAGUAAAGAAAUUAAAGAAAUUAAAUUAGUGAUUAAAAAUUUUCCCCCAGGGAGUUCACGUUGUAGCUCAGUGGUAACGAACCUGACUAGUAACCAUGAGGAUGCAGGUUCAAUCCCUGGCCUUGCUCAGUGGGUUAAGGAUCUGGUGUUGCCGUGAGCUGUGGUGUAGGUCGCAGAUGUGGUUCCAAUCUCACAUUGCUGUGGCUGUGGUGUAGGCUGGCAGCUACAGUUCCGAUUAGACCCCUAGCCUGAGAAAUUCCAUAUGC